ACCUGACCUGGGGCCCGGCUUUGAACCCAUCAGAUUCGGGGUCCCUUCAGAUUCGGGGUCCCUUUGGGCCCAGCGGAUGCACCCACAGCACAAUCACCCAGGCCUCCAAAAUAGCCUCGAGAGGGGAUGCCCCCACCAGCCCUCCUAAGGGUGAGACCACAUCUUUGGCAGCAGCUCUGUUGGCAGCUGACGUUUCAGUAACAUCUGUGGCGUAGGUGGCCCUUCUCUGGGGACACAGAUGAGUGAGAUGGGUGGGGAGUGAAUGAGAGAGUUGGAUUCAGGGGACAAGAGAGCCCAGGACUGGGUCAGGGUGGCCCCAGGAGCCUAGGAACAGGACGGCAGUCCAAGGCGGAAGGGCGCAUUUCCCUUUUCCCCGUCUGAGAGUCCCCCGUCCUGGGCAUGGGCGCUAAGGGGAGGCAGGUUGGGGCUCAGGGCCUGGACCCCAGCACACCUCUUCCUUCCUGCAUGCCCCUGGGAUGGUGGCGGCACCUCUCCACGCCUCAGUUUCACCAUCUGGAGCCUGACUUCACCAUAGCACAAGGGGACCUGCUUCCGGAUGCCAGAGUCCAGAUGGCCGGUGGCUUGGGCCUCGCUGGCAGGUGUUGGACAAGGGCCCAGGUCCUGGCGACCCCCUCUCCGGCGGCUGCCUCCAGAAGCGGGAAUGAGGAAAGAGCUCUCGGCCUGGGCAAGGCUGCCAGCAAGAGGCUCCAGGCCACAGGAAGGAGGGGACUUCUUCAUUCAUAGCAUGUCCCCAGCACCUAGAUGCUCUGAAGGGCUCAGCAGAGUUAUUGAGUGAAAAUAAGAAGACAUUCAAUAAAUGGUUGUUGAAUUCAA
This is a long non-coding RNA of Suricata suricatta (meerkat), 834 nucleotides long. RefSeq lists it as uncharacterized. The record is from RefSeq and is a predicted model, not a curated record. Lineage: Eukaryota; Metazoa; Chordata; Mammalia; Carnivora; Herpestidae. The transcript is spliced from 4 exons.